RNAcentral lists this long non-coding RNA (1814 nucleotides) under Carica papaya (papaya). Its description in RNAcentral is "long non-coding RNA (CPAP_LNC004482)". The record is from RNAcentral. Lineage: Eukaryota; Viridiplantae; Streptophyta; Magnoliopsida; Brassicales; Caricaceae.
UUUUUAUAAGUUGUAUUUUACUAAUUCUAUUCGGAAUAAGAUUAUAUAUUCUUACUUGAACUCUUAAACAUAAUUUAACUAAAAUACUUAAACAAAAACAUUAAAAUAAUUAAGUUUUAUCUAAACUUAAUUAAAAUAAUAAAAAAUAAUUAAAAUAAUACUUAAAAUAUUCUCAUCUCCUUAUCCAAAUCUCCAUGUAGCUUUAUCUUCCUUGAACUUCCAAUUUGAGUGGAAUUUUGUUAUGUUUCCGAUACCAAGAUCUUGUCACUGUGUGCUUAUCUGAAAUUUCUGGUUCCAUAAUCUGCUUCUUCUCUUUGUUGCGAUUUCUUGAGCGGAUUAUUUUGUGAAGAUAAAUUACAAUUCAUCAAAAAGAGGUGCUACCUUGGAUUUCAUUAGAGAGAGUUCCAAUCUCGUACUUUAAAAUAAUAUUCUAACUUUUUUCAUUAAUAGUAAGCACUCUCCUUUAUAUAGAGAUUACAAUUUUUAUUUAAGAAUGUAAAUUUAAUUAGAAAUACUCUAUUAAAAUAUUGAGAAUUUUACACUAUUUAAGAAUUAAAUACUAAUGAAAAAUAUAUAUAUUAUUUAGGAAUUUAAUAUUAAUUAGAAUUUCAACUAUUUAGAAAUUUAAUACUAAUUAAAAUUAUAUAUUUAAUUGAACGUCAAUUUUUUAUGCUUGCUGCACUUUCUAUAUUUGUAUUCAUUACAAAUUUCAUCUUCAAUUUUGCACUUUAAACACAUAGGAUAAUUUAUAAAAGUCCUUGCAACUUAAAAUUGUAGGAAAAUUAGGAAAAAAUGGAGAAAAGAACCCCAAAUAGGACUUACCAUGUGCCUGCCAGCCUAACCGUGCUGGUGGCGUGCAGGAUAGCUUGCGCUUGGCGUGCGGAAGCUUCCUCCUCGCGUGCGCAGUCGCCUGGGCAUUUGCCUGGGUGCGAUGGCACAUGUGUAGCUGCUACAUCACACAUGUGCCAUCGCUGUGGCGUGCGGUUACUGCUGCCCGCACGCCCUGUGCGCUGCCUCACAUGGGAAGCAAUCCUGCGUGUGCGAGUGAUCCUUCCUACUCAUGUGGUUGCCCGCACAUGUGCCAAAGGAGGGUCACAUGUGUGACAUGUGUUGUCUGCAUGUCUUUUCAAACGGGUACCUUCUUUUGGGCUUCAAUUGUGAUCUUGUUAAUCACCCAUUCUUGUAUUAAGAGAUUGAAAAUAUUUUAAAACUUCUUGGUCCAGCUUCUUGUAAUUGGACCUAGGGGCAAUUGAAUUUGAUUCUGAUUUGCCAAAGUCCAUCUUGGACAAUUGUAGCCUUUCCUUCUUGAAACGGAACAGGAAUUAAGGAUGACUUGCUUGCAGCUUCUCCUUUGUCAGCACUUUGAGUACUUGUUAUGUUUGGGAUCAUGUCAAGAAAGUUAUGCAUGAAUGAGGAAUUUAAUCUUUCUCUCCUCUACCUCUUAGCCUUCUUAUAUUUCUUAUCUUUCUUCCCUUUCCCUUCUUUGCCAAUCUCUGAAUGCCCAACAGAUACAACUCGGUAAUCAAGCAUUGCCUCUCCUUUCCCUUCUCUGCUAAUCUCUGAAUGCUCGACAGUUACAACUCGGUAUUAGGCAUUGCCUCAAUAAAAGAGAAUGGUAAUAGAUGAAAGUAGUUGUAGACAGUGAUGUUGAUAGAAUUGAUAAAUGGUGAUUGUGAUGGAGGUGAGGUUGGUUCAUAUGAUGAGUUGUGGUGCUGCCCACUUAAUCAAUUUGCUUGUUAUGGAUAUCCAUUAUAUCAUGGAAAGCUACACAAGUAGUUAUAAUAGUGAUGGCAAUUCCAACUAGGGAGGGUAUC